CUAGGGGGUCACCUGAUUCAUUCACCUGACGUGUCAUUCACGUGACCUGUUGUAGCAGGUAGAUAGCUACCGGGUUGCAGGCCCUUUGUUUAAAUUGAAUGGCGCGGCAAACACAGUGGUGAGAGCACUGUUUUGCGUGUGGAUUUUUGGCCGGCGGUGAUUUAACAGAGCGGUACACUGCAGUCAUCCUGCCCGUUUGCUUCCUUGGGCUUUUGUGCAACAUUAUCUGCAGCUCGCUUGGAUUUGUUGGUUCCGAGCAAGAGGUCAGCCGACUAAAUGCGUGCAGUUGCGGGGGAUUUUAAAGAGGUAAAUUAAUUAAAGCUGUGGUACAUUUUAAUAAGGGGAAUGUAUAACUGUUGUGUAUUGACUGUGUAACCUAUAUAUCAUGUAAACCAUGUAGUGGGCAGGAAACUGAUGGUUUUGUUUGUGACUUUCAGGAACGACCUGUAGCCACUUUUUCCCACCACCAUUGAUUGUGUAGCCUAUCAUGUAUUGUGAUGUCUUACCUAAACCGACGAUAUAGUGGUAGCUCGUUUGUAUAGGUAUCCUAGCUCAUAUCGAUAGUACAUCCAUACUGGUAUCUUAUUUGAUCUAAACCUAUUGAUAGUCCAUCCACACUGGUAGCUUGCAGUCCUAUUGAUAGCCCACCCACACUGAUAGCUGUCGGUGAUCCAAACCUAGUCCAUUCAUACUGGUAGCGUGUUUGAUUUAAAGCUUGGUCAUUCAUACUGGUAGCGUACUUGAUCCAAACCUAUUGAUAGUCCAUUCAUACUGGUAGCGUGCAGCCAUAUUAAUAGCUUAUCCACACGGGUAGUUUGCUUGGUGUCUUAAGCUAGAGUAGCAGCGGUCAUACUGGAGCUGUGGCAUUAGGUCUAUUUACGUAUGUGCGUACUUUGUGUGUGAAACCACCUCCAAGUUGUUAGUUUUCUUUAUAUUUUGGUGGUGAGGCUUAUUCUUUUCUUUGUUUUCCUUUUCAUCCUUGCCAUGAUUACUGUGUGUGUGCCCUAUUUGGGGGUUGAAAUAUUUGCUUGAAGAUUAUCAUUUCAAUGGUUUGCAUUUGUUUUGUAGUGGGUACCCUAUACUGAAUACGGCUUAAUACUACAACAGUAUUGAUUAGAGUACAUCUAUCUAUUCAUCCAGCUUUUAUACCAUGACAA
This is a long non-coding RNA of Alosa sapidissima (American shad), 1157 nucleotides long. RefSeq lists it as uncharacterized. The transcript has 3 exons. NCBI's taxonomy places the organism in Eukaryota, Metazoa, Chordata, Actinopteri, Clupeiformes, Clupeidae. The record is from RefSeq and is a predicted model, not a curated record.